CCUACGGGAGGCAGCAGUCGAGAAUCAUUCACAAUGGGGGAAACCCUGAUGGUGCGACGCCGCGUGGGGGAAUGAAGGUCUUCGGAUUGUAAACCCCUGUCAUGUGGGAGCAAAUUAAAAAGAUAGUACCACAAGAGGAAGAGACGGCUAACUCUGUGCCAGCAGCCGCGGUAAUACAGAGGUCUCAAGCGUUGUUCGGAAUCACUGGGCGUAAGGCGUGCGUAGGCUGUUUCGUAAGUCGUGUGUGAAAGGCGCGGGCUCAACCCGCGGACGGCACAUGAUACUGCGAGACUAGAGUAAUGGAGGGGGAACCGGAAUGCUCGGUGUAGCAGUGAAAUGCGUAGAUAUCGAGAGGAACACUCGUGGCGAAGGCGGGUUCCUGGACAUUAACUGACGCUGAGGCACGAAGGCCAGGGGAGCGAAAGGGAUUAGAUACCCUGGUAGUC
RNAcentral lists this ribosomal RNA (446 nucleotides) under uncultured bacterium. Its description in RNAcentral is "partial 16S ribosomal RNA". It matches the Rfam family "Bacterial small subunit ribosomal RNA", at positions 338 to 795 of the family's 1533-position model. The record is from RNAcentral.